GCUUUAUUUUCCAAGGCAUAAUAACUUACAACAUUAACGACAAACACACACACUAGUGAUAUGCAGUUCGCAAAAGACUCUUGACUGACUUGAGUCAUGAUUCAUUUUUCUCAGUGACUUCUUAAUUUGAGUCAUUUGUUUGACCUGGAUCUAGUGACAACAUGCAGCAACAGCUUGCAAAAAUGAGUGGUAAACAAGUGGUAAUAUAACUUUGUGGAUAUUCAACUUUGAGGCAGGAUGAUGUGAAUUGAACUUGAGAACAAUACCAUGAAUACUGAUAGUGAGCUCAGUACAAAAAUGACAAUUUCCAAAAUAGUUUAUGAAUAGGAAAAAAUAAAAGUGUAACAGGUUAUAGUGUAUUACAUUGCAAUAAAUGUAUCCUUGUAUCCUUAAUGAAGUGAUCACCACCAAUGAGUGAUCACCACGAGGUAGCCAUGCAUUACAUUAAUGAACAUUUCAGACAGUGAGUGAUCACCACGAGGUAGCCAUGCAUUACAUUAAUGAACAUUUCAGGCAGUGAGUGAUCACCACGAGGUAGCCAUGCAUUACAUUAAUGAACAUUUCAGGCAGUGAGUGAUCACCACGAGGUAGCCAUGCAUUACAUUAAUGAACAUUUCAGGCAGUGAGUGAUCACCACUAGGUAGCCAUGCAUUACAUUAAUGAACAUUUCAGGCAGUGAGUGAUCACCACUAGGUAGCCAAGUGUUUCAAUAAACUAGCGUUGCUUUUGUAACCAUUUCCUUCAGCAAAUAUUCAAACCGUUUCGGAAAGAUAUACAGCCGGGGGCCAGAUACACACACACACACACACACACACACACACACACACAGCUAGUCCUCCUUGGCCUCUGCUUCAUAAAUUAUCUCAUGGAUGUGGAACUUGACGGCUGCUUCCUUGUAAUUGGUCAGCCUGUUCAUGGAUGGGCGUAAGCUUUUUAAAAAAGCUCUUCCUCAUCUAGAGGGGCCUGGAUAGGGCCCUGGGUGGAAGGUGUUGGUAGUGGACCCUCCGAUGCCUUCCUCGCUACUACCUACUACAAGGAGCUCUUUCUCGAAAAGAGUCA
Oncorhynchus tshawytscha (Chinook salmon) is the source of this 1059-nucleotide long non-coding RNA. NCBI's taxonomy places the organism in Eukaryota, Metazoa, Chordata, Actinopteri, Salmoniformes, Salmonidae. The record is from Ensembl.